Molecule: small RNA, 125 nt
Filed under: Marmota monax (woodchuck)
Lineage: Eukaryota; Metazoa; Chordata; Mammalia; Rodentia; Sciuridae
Source: RNAcentral
GCCAGGCACAGUGGUGUAUGCCUGAAAUCCCAGUGACUCAGGAGGCUGAGACAGGAGGAUUGCAAGUUCAAAGCCAGCCUCAGCAAAAGCAAGGUGCUAAGCAACUCAAUGAAACCCUGUCUCUA